Long non-coding RNA from Triplophysa dalaica, 295 nucleotides. RefSeq lists it as uncharacterized. The transcript is spliced from 3 exons. Lineage: Eukaryota; Metazoa; Chordata; Actinopteri; Cypriniformes; Nemacheilidae. The record is from RefSeq and is a predicted model, not a curated record.
AUCUUCGAGGCAAAUAGCUGCUAAGAAAAAGCGAUGGCACACUUCACUUCACAACACAAUCAUUUCAGGUGAUGUCUUACUUGAGAAAACUCCAGGCCAGACAUGGAGACAGACAGUGCAGAACACAUGACGGCAGCUGGAAGAUGGAACAGAGACUGGGCUCCAAUGCUGUUGGUCCUCCUCCGUUGAUCAUCACCACCUUAUGCACCUGCUCUGGAUACUCGUGUGCCAAGAACGAUCCAGGCCUUCCUGUUCUGAGUUUUCGUGCCUUGUGGACAGGUCGUGACAGUACCAG